RNAcentral lists this long non-coding RNA (356 nucleotides) under Phasianus colchicus (ring-necked pheasant). RNAcentral describes it as "lncRNA (ENSPCLG00000003048.1)". Lineage: Eukaryota; Metazoa; Chordata; Aves; Galliformes; Phasianidae. The record is from RNAcentral.
CUGGUGAGCAGCAUCUUCGAAGAUGCAGUAUGGCACUGUACAGAUUGUAAUAGGAGUCCUUUCUUUGUAUCCUCAAAACCCCAUCAAGAAAUAAAUCAAAUUAUGACUGUAAAUGAGGAUGAGUAUAGACAAGUAACUUUGCUGCAUAGCGUUUUGUAGAAAUAACAUGACCUCUAUACUCUUCUCUCUUUCCAGUUCAACUACAUCACUUUUGUAAAAGAAAUUGUAAUUAUUGUUGUUGUCAUGGAGUUUCAAUCUUUAAAUCUGCAUACCUGUAAGUGGUAUGUCUGAUUAUGUGAAUGUACAUACACUUACCAUAAACCAUUAGACUAAUUUGACCAUAAAAAUGAAUAGAG